Molecule: non-coding RNA, 92 nt
Filed under: Extubocellulus spinifer
Lineage: Eukaryota; Bacillariophyta; Thalassiosirophyceae; Cymatosirales; Cymatosiraceae
Source: RNAcentral
AUUCGCAAGGGUCCCACUAACGCCGCAAAGGCCAGAAGGGAGAAGCAGGAGGCAACGGUUGCCGCCAUGCCACGCAGGAGCAAGAGGAGUGC